Molecule: non-coding RNA, 436 nt
Organism: Paramuricea clavata
Lineage: Eukaryota; Metazoa; Cnidaria; Anthozoa; Malacalcyonacea; Plexauridae
Source: the annotation of a GenBank genome assembly
CUCCAAGUCUCUCUUUAUUGUCAUAUAGUAUCGAUCCACUAUAGUGUACAUUACAUGACGUAGCACGGAGGGGCGGAGCGAGAAAGAGAGACUUGUCAACUUCGGAAAAUCUCGGUUCAAAACUGAACCGAAAGUGCAAGACCUGCUUUAAUUUCUGAAUUUAAUUUUUAAAUUUCUGUCAGUGUUUAUAUGUAUUGAUCUAGCACAGUGUAAAUAACAUGAGUUCCAUUAUAGUAAAUAAUACAGAAAGAAAUUGAAGGAGAACAAUUAAAGAAAGUCUUGCAUUUUCGGUUCAGUUUUGAACCGAGAUUUUCCAAAGUUGACAAGUCUCUCUUUCUCGCCCCGCCUCUCCGUGCUACGUCAUGUAAUGUACACUAUAGUGGAUCGAUAUGACAAUGAAAGAGAGACUUGGAGCAAGUCUAGUUGUUUAGUGGAG